UGCGGGUUAACGCGGCGUUUGCCGCGCGGUACAACCGCUACCGGGAACGCGAGGAACUGCAGCGGCUGAAGGAUCGCUACGGGGACCGAGACAGCAGCAGCGACUCCAGCUCCGAGUCGGACUCCAGCGACGAGCGCGUGGAAUUUGACCCCCAGCAGGAGCGGGACUUUUACAAAACGCUCUCCUUGUUGAAGAAGAAGGACCCCCGCAUUUAUCAGAAAGAUGCCACCUUCUAUAACAGAACAGCAUCAUCAUCAGACAGUGAGGAGGACCCAGAAGCCUUGGAGAAGCAGAAGAAAGUGCGGCCCAUGUACCUGAAGGACUACGAGAGGAAGGUUAUCUUGGAGAAGGCAGGCAAAUAUGUUGACGAGGAGAACUCAGACGGGGAGACUUCCAAUCACAGACUCCAGGUGGGUGGGGUGAAGGCUGGGUCGGGGGGCUGAGGGGCCUGGGGCUGGCCUGAGACCUAUGGCCCUCUCUGCAGGAGACAUCGUCGCAAAGUUAUGUGGAGGAACAGAAACAGCUCAAGGAAAGCUUCCGGGCAUUUGUGGAGGACAGUGAGGACGAGGACGGCGCUGGGGAGGGCGGCUCCAGUUUGCUGCAGAAACGUGCCAAAACCAGGCAGGAGAAGGCCCAGGAGGAGGCCGACUACAUCGAGUGGCUGAAGGGACAGAAAGAGAUUCGGAACCCAGAUUCCCUGAAGGAACUGACGCAUCUCAAGGAAUACUGGAACGACCCUGAGUUGGAUGAAGGGGAGCGGUUCCUGCGGGAUUACAUCCUCAACAAACGCUACGAGGAGGAGGAAGAGGAGGAGGAAAUGGAGGAAGAGGAGGGGGUCCACGGUCCCCCAGUCCAGCUGGCUGUGGACGACUCCUCAGACGAAGGGGAGCUGUUUCUGAAGAACCAGGAGGACUUUGAACAGAAGUACAAUUUCCGUUUCGAGGAGCCGGACUCAGCAUCGGUCAAGACCUACCCACGCAGCAUCGCGUCCUCCGUGCGCCGUAAGGAUGAGCGCAGAAAGGAGAAGAGGGAAGAGACUCGGGAGCGAAAGAAGAGGGAGAAAGCCAAGAAGCAGGAGGAGCUCAAGCAGCUGAAGAACCUGAAGAGGAAGGAGAUUCUGGCCAAGCUGGAGAAGCUGCGGAAAGUAACAGGCAACGAGACGCUGGGCCUCGAGGAGGGGGACCUUGAAGAUGACUUCGACCCUGCCCAGCACGACCAGCUCAUGCAGAAGUGCUUUGGGGACGAGUACUACGGGGCCGUGGAGGAGGAGAAGCCACAAUUUGAGGAAGAAGAAGGGCUUGAAGACGACUGGAACUGGGACACGUGGGACGGGCCUGAGCAGGAGGGAGACUGGAGCCAGCAGGAGCUGCACUGUGAGGACCCCAACUUCAACGUAGGUAUCACGGGUUGAGGGAGUCCCAGGGGCCCUGACGGGGGGCUGGUGGGAUCUGACCUGUGCGUCCUGGCAGAUGGACGCCGACUACGACCCCAGCCAGCCGAGGAAGAAAAAGCGCGAGGCCCCCUUGACAGGCAAGAAGAAGCGCAAGUCGCCCUUCGCCGCGGCCGUGGGGCAGGAGAAGCCCGUGUUCGAACCCGGUGAGGCCCAGGUGGGCAGGCCGUGGGUAGGCAGGGGGCACUGCGGGGCCUGGCAUAGCCCAGCAGCCUGGCUCUGUCUCGAGCAGGGGAUAAGACGUUCGAGGAGUACCUGGAUGAGUAUUACCGGCUGGACUACGAGGACAUCAUCGACGACCUGCCCUGUCGCUUCAAGUACCGCACAGUGGUGCCCUGUGACUUUGGCCUCAGCACUGAGGAGAUAUUCGCUGCUGACGAUAAGGAGCUGAACCGGUGGUGCUCCCUAAAGAAGACCUGCAUGUACAGGUCAGAGCAGGAGGAGCUGCGGGACAAGCGGGCGUACAGCCAGAAGGCCCAGAACUCAUGGAAAAAGCGGCAGGUCUUCAAGUCACUCUGCCGAGAAGAGGCAGAGACACCUGCGGAAGCCACAGGGAAGCCACACAGAGAUGAAGCCGGCCCACAGAGGCAGCUGCCAGCCCUUGAUGGCAGCUUGAUGGGGCUGGAGAGUCCCCCAGCACAGGAAGAGGAAGCCCCUGUAUCACCCCACAAGAAGCCAGCCCCCCAGAAGCGGAGGAGGGCCAAGAAGGCACGGCUGCUGGGCCCCACUGUGAUGCUUGGUGGAUGCGAGUUCAGCCGCCAGAGACUGCAGGCCUUUGGCCUCAACCCCAAACGGCUGCACUUCCGCCAGCUGGGCUGGCAGCGGAGGAAACAACAGGGGCCCAAGAACAGCUCCUGAGCACCAGGGAGCAGGCAGGGGCCUCAGGCUCCUCUCCUCAAAUCAAGCCCUGGACAGGUCUCGCACCCACAAGUACUAUCUGCUGCAGAGAUCCUCUCAUCUGUGGCCAGGCACGCCUGUAAUCCCAGCACUUUGGGAGGCCGAGGUGAAAGGAUCACUUGAGCCCAGGAAUUGGAGACCAGCGUGGGCAACUUAGCGAGACUCCAUCUCUACAAAAUGUGGUGACACAUGCCUGUAGUCCCAGCUACUCAGGAGGCUGGGGAAGGAAGAUCACUUAAGGCCAUGAGUUUUGAGGCUACAGAGAGCUAUGAUUGCACCACUGCACUCCAGCCUGGGCAAAAAAGAGACUCCUGUCUCUUGGAAAAAAAAAAAAAAAA
RNAcentral lists this small RNA (2685 nucleotides) under Pan troglodytes (chimpanzee). RNAcentral's name for it is "retained intron". The record is from RNAcentral. Lineage: Eukaryota; Metazoa; Chordata; Mammalia; Primates; Hominidae.